AGCGAACGCUGGCGGCAGGCCUAACACAUGCGAGUCGAACGAACUCUUCGGAGUUAGUGGCGGACGGGUGAGUAACACGUGGGAACGUGCCUUUUGGUUCGGAAUAACUCAGGGAAACUUGUGCUAAUACCGAAUGUGCCCUUCGGGGGAGAGAUUUAUCGCCAUUAGAGCGGCCCGCGUCUGAUUAGCUAGUUGGUGAGGUAACGGCUCACCAAGGCGACGAUCAGUAGCUGGUCUGAGAGGAUGACCAGCCACACUGGGACUGAGACACGGCCCAGACUCCUACGGGAGGCAGCAGUGGGGAAUCUUGCGCAAUGGGCGAAAGCCUGACGCAGCCAUGCCGCGUGAAUGAUGAAGGUCUUAGGAUUGUAAAAUUCUUUCACCGGGGACGAUAAUGACGGUACCCGGAGAAGAAGCCCCGGCUAACUUCGUG
RNAcentral lists this ribosomal RNA (433 nucleotides) under uncultured bacterium. Its description in RNAcentral is "partial 16S ribosomal RNA". It matches the Rfam family "Bacterial small subunit ribosomal RNA", at positions 29 to 507 of the family's 1533-position model. The record is from RNAcentral.